UACGAAGGGGGCUAGCGUUGCUCGGAAUCACUGGGCGUAAAGGGUGCGUAGGCGGGUCUUUAAGUCAGGGGUGAAAUCCUGGAGCUCAACUCCAGAACUGCCUUUGAUACUGAAGAUCUUGAGUUCGGGAGAGGUGAGUGGAACUGCGAGUGUAGAGGUGAAAUUCGUAGAUAUUCGCAAGAACACCAGUGGCAAAGGCGGCUCACUGGCCCGAUACUGACGCUGAGGCACGAAAGCUAGGGGAGCAAACGGG
Molecule: ribosomal RNA, 253 nt
Filed under: uncultured bacterium
Lineage: Bacteria
Description: partial 16S ribosomal RNA
Rfam family: Bacterial small subunit ribosomal RNA
Source: RNAcentral